UUUGUAUGACUUUCACAUAAGUAGUUCAAUUCCCACAAAAAUCUCUAUAAAAUCCUCCAUUAAUUCCAAAAGGAGGCUUGACAUAGUUUCUUUAAUGGGAAGAGAGUUUUUUAAAAAAAACUAAUAGUCACAUCGUUUCGUCUACCAUUGAUUAUAAGUCGUAAUACUUAUUAGCAACUUAAAAAAAUAAUUUGAUGCAUAAAUAUUUUAUAUAUUUGUUAUUUGUGACUUAAAAGCUCCUGGUGAAAAAAUAUUAAAAUUAACUCUAAAAUUAAGCUUUAAUAUUUAAAUGUUCGCUUCGGCUGAUAAGCUAAAUAGAAAAUGACCUAUAAUAAACCAAUUAGCUACUAGCUAAUAUUCGACAUACUUGUAGGACUAGCUUCCACCUUCAAUCCGUGACCCUUGCCAUAGGGAAUAAAAUCUUUGGCCUGUCUCGUAUAGCUUUUUUUUUUUCUGAAAAUCUGCAGUAUAGCUUAUUUUAUUUUUUAAUUGAUUUUUUUCUUUUUUUUUUGGGGGGGGGGGGGGCGUUCACCAUUUUCAUUACCCAUUCUUGUUGCCAUGCUAGGUCAGAAACUGACUAAAAAUCUACUUAAAAUUCGCACAUCAAAUUUUUUUUUUGAGAAAAAACGGUGCAAGUGGAGCCCCAUCGUAUUUUUUGAACCACCCAAAGAACUAAUAAGAGUUUUUUUGGCAACCGGUGGAUAUCAAUAUAUUAAUCCAUUAUGUACAUAAAUAUAAACCUAAAUACUUUUGUGUACCUACACCUAAUAGAUUAACAUGCAUAUGUACAUGUGUAUAUAUUCUAUUGAUUUCUCUUGGGUUAAAGAACCAAGUAUAUGUAAGCCAUAAAGCUGAACUUUCCCAACUUGGUGAAGUUUGUCAAACCUUUAUUAUGAUAUCUUACGUUAUUUUAACUAAAGAUAGACAGGUACCUCUAAAUAUAUAUAUGCUCUCAACAUUUGUUUUGUUUCCAUAAAUUAAGAAAUGGAAUAGGGCUUUGCCCUUUUGAUCU
RNAcentral lists this small RNA (1012 nucleotides) under Oryza sativa Japonica Group (Japanese rice). RNAcentral describes it as "sRNA Os11g0543650". The record is from RNAcentral. Lineage: Eukaryota; Viridiplantae; Streptophyta; Magnoliopsida; Poales; Poaceae.